RNAcentral lists this ribosomal RNA (783 nucleotides) under Chroococcales cyanobacterium PMC 1178.19. Its description in RNAcentral is "bacterial SSU rRNA". It matches the Rfam family "Bacterial small subunit ribosomal RNA", at positions 106 to 922 of the family's 1533-position model. The record is from RNAcentral. Lineage: Bacteria; Bacillati; Cyanobacteriota; Cyanophyceae; Chroococcales.
GUGAGUAACGCGUGAGAAUCUACCUUCAGGAUGGGGACAACCGUUGGAAACGACGGCUAAUCCCCAAUAGGCCGCAAGGUGAAAGGGAUUCCGCCUGAAGAGGAGCUCGCGUCCGAUUAGUUAGUUGGUGAGGUAAGAGCUUACCAAGGCAGCGAUCGGUAGCUGGUCUGAGAGGAUGAGCAGCCACACUGGGACUGAGACACGGCCCAGACUCCUACGGGAGGCAGCAGUGGGGAAUUUUCCGCAAUGGGCGCAAGCCUGACGGAGCAACGCCGCGUGUGGGAAGAAGGCUCUUGGGCUGUCAACCACUUUUCUCAGGGAAGAAGAUCUGACGGUACCUGAGGAAUCAGCCUCGGCUAACUCCGUGCCAGCAGCCGCGGUAAUACGGAGGAGGCAAGCGUUAUCCGGAAUUAUUGGGCGUAAAGCGUCCGCAGGGGGCACAUCAAGUCUGCUGUUAAAGGCUGGAGCUUAACUCCGGUAGAGCAGUGGAAACUGGUGUGCUAGAGGGCGACAGGGGUAGAGGGAAUUCCCAGUGUAGCGGUGAAAUGCGUAGAGAUUGGGAAGAACACCGGUGGCGAAAGCGCUCUACUGGGUCGCACCUGACCCUCAGGGACGAAAGCUAAGGUAGCGAAAGGGAUUAGAUACCCCUGUAGUCUUAGCCGUAAACGAUGGAUACUAGGCGUGGUUUGUAUCGACCCAAGCCGUGCCGAAGCUAACGCGUUAAGUAUCCCGCCUGGGGAGUACGCACGCAAGUGUGAAACUCAAAGGAAUUGACGGGGGCCC